CUCCCAAACCCCUGUGAACAUACCAAUUGUUGCCUCGGCGGAUCAGCCCGCUCCCGGUAAAACGGGACGGCCCGCCAGAGGACCCCUAAACUCUGUUUCUAUAUGUAACUUCUGAGUAAAACCAUAAAUAAAUCAAAACUUUCAACAACGGAUCUCUUGGUUCUGGCAUCGAUGAAGAACGCAGCAAAAUGCGAUAAGUAAUGUGAAUUGCAGAAUUCAGUGAAUCAUCGAAUCUUUGAACGCACAUUGCGCCCGCCAGUAUUCUGGCGGGCAUGCCUGUUCGAGCGUCAUUUCAACCCUCAAGCCCAGCUUGGUGUUGGGACUCGCGAGUCAAAUCGCGUUCCCCAAAUUGAUUGGCGGUCACGUCGAGCUUCCAUAGCGUAGUAGUAAAACCCUCGUUACUGGUAAUCGUCGCGGCCACGCCGUUAAACCCCAACUUCUGAAUGUUGACCUCGGAUCAGGUAGGAAUACCCGCUGAACUUAAGCAUAUC
This 491-nucleotide ribosomal RNA is filed under the name Fusarium verticillioides. RNAcentral's name for it is "eukaryotic LSU rRNA". The stretch from base 137 to 290 matches the Rfam family "5.8S ribosomal RNA". Lineage: Eukaryota; Fungi; Ascomycota; Sordariomycetes; Hypocreales; Nectriaceae. The record is from RNAcentral.